CGCUGUCUAGUGUGUAUGCUCUCUAUAUAAAUGCUGUCUAGUGUGUAUACUCUCUGCAUAAACGCUGUCUAGUGUGUAUGCUCUCUAUAUAAACGCUGUCUAGUGUGUAUACUCUCGACAUAAACGCUGUCUAGUGUGUAUGCUCUCUACAUAAACGCUGUCUAGUGUGUAUACUCUCGACAUAAACACUGUCUAGUGUGUAUACUCUGUACAUAAACGCUGUCUAGUGUGUAUACUCUCUACAUAAACACUGUCUAGUGCAGACAUCCCAAGUCUCCCGGAAGUUCCAGGAGUCUCCCACAUAUUGACAGUGGCUCCCUGAUGCCCACAAAUUGGAGAAUAUCUCCCGGAAUCUAGAGCAAUGAGCAAGCCUGUGGCGACGGUGGCAAGGAAAAACUCCCUCAGACGACAUGAGGAAGAAACCUCGAGAGGAACCAGACUCAAAAGGGAACCCAUCCUCAUUUGGGUGAUAACAGACAAGGUGUGAUGUGAGAAGCUCUGUGGUCAGUGUGCUGUAACUCGUCGACAUGGUGAUGUCCAACAUGGAAACGUCAUUGAUACUCAAGCCAGGCUUGUGCAAGGGCACAGCGGGGUUUCUACAUCAGCACUCACUCUUACACUGGGAUGUCAUUAACGUGUGCCUGAUCAAGCUACUGUGGUCUCAUCUCACAACUAACGUCUUACAAAGAGGAUUUUCAUCUCGUCAGUGUGUUGAGAGAGAGCAAGAAAUGAAUGAAACUCUCAGUAGGAGCAGAAAAGUCAAAUAAAUUUUUAAUACGAACGUUGAA
This is a long non-coding RNA of Neoarius graeffei (lesser salmon catfish), 788 nucleotides long. RefSeq lists it as uncharacterized. NCBI's taxonomy places the organism in Eukaryota, Metazoa, Chordata, Actinopteri, Siluriformes, Ariidae. The transcript is spliced from 4 exons. The record is from RefSeq and is a predicted model, not a curated record.